This is a long non-coding RNA of Gopherus evgoodei (Goodes thornscrub tortoise), 129 nucleotides long. RefSeq lists it as uncharacterized. Lineage: Eukaryota; Metazoa; Chordata; Testudines; Testudinidae. The record is from RefSeq and is a predicted model, not a curated record. The transcript has 3 exons.
UCAUAGCAGUAAAACCCUUGGGGUUGGAGUGGAUGAGGAGCUGGAUAUGAGCUGACAGUGUGUCCUGAUUGCCAAGAAGGCUAACAGCAUUUUGGGCUGUAUAAGUAGGAGCAUUGCCAGCAGAUUGAG